This 207-nucleotide ribosomal RNA is filed under the name uncultured bacterium. Its description in RNAcentral is "partial 16S ribosomal RNA". It matches the Rfam family "Bacterial small subunit ribosomal RNA", at positions 568 to 774 of the family's 1533-position model. The record is from RNAcentral.
CACGUAGGCGGCCUGGUAAGUCAGAUGUGAAAGCCCGGGGCUUAACCCCGGAAGUGCAUUUGGUACUGUCAGGCUUGAGUAUGGGAGAGGGAAGUGGAAUUCCUGGUGUAGAGGUGAAAUUCGUAGAUAUCAGGAGGAACACCGGUGGCGAAGGCGACUUCCUGGACCAAUACUGACGCUGAGGUGCGAAGGCGUGGGUAGCAAACA